Molecule: ribosomal RNA, 520 nt
Filed under: uncultured Glomus
Lineage: Eukaryota; Fungi; Glomeromycota; Glomeromycetes; Glomerales; Glomeraceae
Description: SSU rRNA
Rfam family: Eukaryotic small subunit ribosomal RNA
Source: RNAcentral
AGCAGCCGCGGUAAUUCCAGCUCCAAUAGCGUAUAUUAAAGUUGUUGCAGUUAAAAAGCUCGUAGUUGAAUUUCGGGGUCAGUAAGUUGGUCGUGCCACUGGUAUGUACUGGCUUUACUGAUUCCUCCUUCUUGUAGAACCGUAAUGCCAUUAAGUUGGUGUUGCGGGAAAACAGGACUGUUACUUUGAAAAAAUUAAAGUGUUUAAAGCAAGCUAACGCUUGAAUACAUUAGCAUGGAAUAAUGAAAUAGGACGAACGAUCCUAUUUUGUUGGUUUCUAGGAUUGACGUAAUGAUUAAUAGGGAUAGUUGGGGGCAUUAGUAUUCAAUUGUCAGAGGUGAAAUUCUUGGAUUUAUUGAAGACUAACUACUGCGAAAGCAUUUGCCAAGGAUGUUUUCAUUAAUCAAGAACGAAAGUUAGGGGAUCGAAGGCGAUCAGAUACCGUCGUAGUCUUAACCAUAAACUAUGCCGACUAGGGAUCGGAUGAUGUUAAUUUUUUAAUGACUCAUUCGGCGCCUUA